AGAGUUUGAUCAUGGCUCAGAUUGAACGCUGGCGGCAGGCCUAACACAUGCAAGUCGAGCGGAAACGAUGGUAGCUUGCUACCAGGCGUCGAGCGGCGGACGGGUGAGUAACGCGUGAGAAUCUGCCCAUUUGUGGGGGAUAACUCGGGGAAACUCGAGCUAAUACCGCAUAAUCCCUACGGGGGAAAGCAGGGGACCUUCGGGCCUUGUGCAGAUGGAUGAGCUCGCGUCGGAUUAGCUUGUUGGUGAGGUAAAGGCUCACCAAGGCGACGAUCCGUAGCUGGUCUGAGAGGAUGAUCAGCCACACCGGGACUGAGACACGGCCCGGACUCCUACGGGAGGCAGCAGUGGGGAAUCUUGGACAAUGGGGGCAACCCUGAUCCAGCCAUGCCGCGUGUGUGAAGAAGGCCUUCGGGUUGUAAAGCACUUUCAGUAGGGAGGAAGGCUUACCGCUAAUAACGGUGAGUACUUGACGUUACCUACAGAAGAAGCACCGGCUAAUUUCGUGCCAGCAGCCGCGGUAAUACGAAAGGUGCGAGCGUUAAUCGGAAUUACUGGGCGUAAAGCGCGCGUAGGCGGUUUGUUAAGUCAGAUGUGAAAGCCCCGGGCUCAACCUGGGAAUUGCAUUUGAAACUGGCAGGCUAGAGUGCAGUAGAGGGAGGUGGAAUUUCCGGUGUAGCGGUGAAAUGCGUAGAGAUCGGAAGGAACACCAGUGGCGAAGGCGGCCUCCUGGACUGACACUGACGCUGAGGUGCGAAA
This 759-nucleotide ribosomal RNA is filed under the name uncultured bacterium. Its description in RNAcentral is "bacterial SSU rRNA". It matches the Rfam family "Bacterial small subunit ribosomal RNA", at positions 8 to 758 of the family's 1533-position model. The record is from RNAcentral.